RNAcentral lists this transfer RNA (89 nucleotides) under Rhodocollybia butyracea. It matches the Rfam family "tRNA". Rfam says of the family: Transfer RNA (tRNA) molecules are approximately 80 nucleotides in length. Their secondary structure includes four short double-helical elements and three loops (D, anti-codon, and T loops). Further hydrogen bonds mediate the characteristic L-shaped molecular structure. tRNAs have two regions of fundamental functional importance: the anti-codon, which is responsible for specific mRNA codon recognition, and the 3' end, to which the tRNAs corresponding amino acid is attached (by aminoacyl-tRNA synthetases). tRNAs cope with the degeneracy of the genetic code in two manners: having more than one tRNA (with a specific anti-codon) for a particular amino acid; and 'wobble' base-pairing, i.e. permitting non-standard base-pairing at the 3rd anti-codon position. Lineage: Eukaryota; Fungi; Basidiomycota; Agaricomycetes; Agaricales; Omphalotaceae. The record is from Rfam by way of RNAcentral.
GGCGCUAUAGCCAAGUGGUUACGGCGACAGAUUUGAACCACAUUAUCUGUUCCUCUUUGAGGGCGCAGGUUCGAACCCUGCUGGCGUCG